UAGCACCCUCGCUCUCCUCUUAGACAUCGAAGAUCCUGAACUCCCUCAUGAAACUCUGGAUAGAGAAACAACCCUUAAAGGGAUUGACGUAUGCCUCCACCUAGGAGAUUCACAAAUUACAUCCCUCUGAAUACUAUUUGAAUCCAGGUGCUUAUGGAGAUCAAGAAUCAGAUCCCAAGAGCGAUGAAGUUGCAGUCCAACCUCGAUC
RNAcentral lists this long non-coding RNA (208 nucleotides) under Elaeis guineensis (African oil palm). RNAcentral describes it as "long non-coding RNA (EGUI_LNC018074)". Lineage: Eukaryota; Viridiplantae; Streptophyta; Magnoliopsida; Arecales; Arecaceae. The record is from RNAcentral.